ACUCAAAGGAAUAGACGGGGCCCCGCACAAGCGGCGGAGCAUGCGGAUUAAUUCGAUGCAACGCGAAGAACCUUACCUGGGUUUGACAUAUACCGGAAACACCUAGAGAUAGGUGCCCCGCAAGGUCGGUAUACAGGUGGUGCAUGGCUGUCGUCAGCUCGUGUCGUGAGAUGUUGGGUUAAGUCCCGCAACGAGCGCAACCCUUGUCCAAUGUUGCCAGCGGAUUAUGCCGGGGACUCAUUGGAGACCGCCGGGGUCAACUCGGAGGAAGGUGGGGACGACGUCAAGUCAUCAUGCCCCUUAUGUCCAGGGCUUCACGCAUGCUACAAUGGCCGGUACAAUGAGCUGCCACAUCGUAAGAUGAAGCGAAUCUCAAAAAGCCGGUCUCAGUUCGGAUUGGGGUCUGCAACUCGACCCCAUGAAGUAGGAGUCGCUAGUAAUCGCAGAUCAGCAACGCUGCGGUGAAUACGUUCCCGGGGCUUGUACACACCGCCCGU
This 497-nucleotide ribosomal RNA is filed under the name uncultured bacterium. RNAcentral describes it as "bacterial SSU rRNA". It matches the Rfam family "Bacterial small subunit ribosomal RNA", at positions 899 to 1397 of the family's 1533-position model. The record is from RNAcentral.